GGGUAUUCAUGCCUUCAUUUCCAUCCAUUCAAAUCAUUGACGGGUGCUGCCGUUCCUGACUCCAGUCACUGUUAAUGGACAGGAUCAGUGUAGGUGUUGCUGCUUUGCCUAGCUUGAAGUAGCUUUAUUCGUUGCUUUUAGUCGAUUUCAUAUUUUGCGUAUGCGUAUUGCCUAAACAUGUGUGUGGGUAUUAAACCUGGGGUGUGUCUACAUAAUUUGGCGCUCGCAACCCUUGAACAGAACGGAGCUAGCUAGCUAGCAAAAACAAAUUGAUAAAUGGACAUUUUACUGCACCUCAAACACUUUUCCAAGUUGGAAUAAUGUAACGCGUCAUUUGGGGGAUUCGAAGAGUGGAACUUCAACUAUAAUGAAAGUUAACACCAGAGAGAGGCAGCAUACAGGAGCUCUAUAAGACGUAACUUUAUUCAUGACAGGCAACUACCAUCUCCUUCACUUCUAGCUGUUGGGCAGUCGAACAGUGUGCACUGGAUAGUUGGCAGCAGUUUAGAGGGGCCCCUUGGUAUCUCACAACUUGCAACUCACAUGGGAUGUCUGGUCAGAACCCAACAACCACAAUGGUCACUAGCUGGACAGAUUCCUCUCGAAAGGGGAGCCCUGUAGAUGAACUGCCUGCCGUGUCUUUGGCUGUAUAGGCGACCAUACAGUGACUCAAGAGAAGAAUGAAUUACACGUGUGAAACCAUGAGUCUUUAUACAUUCAAAGUGGAAUAUAAUGAGAUGUUUCUCCCAAUCUAAUGAUAUUAAAAUCCAAUAAAAGGC
Molecule: long non-coding RNA, 779 nt
Filed under: Salmo salar (Atlantic salmon)
Lineage: Eukaryota; Metazoa; Chordata; Actinopteri; Salmoniformes; Salmonidae
Description: lncRNA (ENSSSAG00000091624.1, ENSSSAG00020084026.1, ENSSSAG00075041283.1)
Source: RNAcentral